UGCCUGCUGCUGUGUGAGACGUGGUUUUGCUUCUCCUCACCUUCUGCCAAGAUUGUGAGACCUCCCCAGCCAUGCGAACUGUGACAAAACUGAGGCUCAGAGGCCAAUGGCCUUGUUCAAGGUCACACGCCCACUAAAUGAGAGACCCGGAGACCUGGCAUCACACGCAUCCCUUGAAUGUUUAUGAAACACCCAUCAUAUGCCAGACCUUGUGCCAAGUGCUCAGGAUGCAAGAGAUAAAGAUUUGAGAAAUGCAUUGUGUGACUAAGGUGACAAAGAAACAACAGCAAUUCACUGGGCUAAGUGGUUUGUACAACAACCAGGAGAGAGCAGAUUAAUUCUGUCUAGGAGCUCAGGAUGGCACUUGAACCAGACUUUGAAAAAUGUGCACAGGAUUUUGCCAUCAGAGAAACAAGGUGAGGACAUGUUAAGCAGAGAGGACUUUGAACCAAAGCUCUGAAGCACAGAGGUCUAUGAUCUAUCAGUGGCAGCAGGUGAAGCUAGAGAAAGCUGGGACCAGAUUGGAAGAGGCCAGGCAGACUACCUGAAGGGGCUGGAUCUUACAUGAGAACACUGGGAAGCCCCUAAAAUUCUGUAAGCAGGG
RNAcentral lists this long non-coding RNA (604 nucleotides) under Homo sapiens (human). RNAcentral describes it as "HSALNT0181559". Lineage: Eukaryota; Metazoa; Chordata; Mammalia; Primates; Hominidae. The record is from RNAcentral.